RNAcentral lists this microRNA precursor (76 nucleotides) under Myotis brandtii (Brandt's bat). Its description in RNAcentral is "mir-9229 microRNA precursor family". It matches the Rfam family "mir-9229 microRNA precursor family". Lineage: Eukaryota; Metazoa; Chordata; Mammalia; Chiroptera; Vespertilionidae. The record is from Rfam by way of RNAcentral.
GACACACCCUUAUGGGGCACGACUUGCUUCAGUGGGGCUUUGGUGUUCACUGAGUCUGUCCCUUGAGUGUGUCACU